Molecule: ribosomal RNA, 253 nt
Filed under: uncultured bacterium
Lineage: Bacteria
Description: partial 16S ribosomal RNA
Rfam family: Bacterial small subunit ribosomal RNA
Source: RNAcentral
UACGUAUGGGGCAAGCGUUGUCCGGAUUCAUUGGGCGUAAAGCGCGUGUAGGCGGCCAGGUAGGUCCGGUGUGAAAACUCGAGGCUCAACCUCGAGAGGUCAUCGGAAACCAUCUGGCUAGAGUCCGGAAGAGGAGAGUGGAAUUCCCGGUGUAGCGGUGAAAUGCGCAGAUAUCGGGAAGAACACCUAUGGCGAAGGCAGCUCUCUGGGACGGUACUGACGCUGAGACGCGAAAGCGUGGGGAGCGAACAGG